GAUGAACGCUGGCGGCGUGCUUAACACAUGCAAGUCGAACGGAAAGGCCAUGCUCUUGUGGGGUGCUCGAGUGGCGAACGGGUGAGUAACACGUGAGUAACAUGUCCUUGACUUUGGGAUAACUUCAGGAAAAUGGGGAUAAUAUCGGAUAGGAGCUCCUGCAGCACGGUGGGGGUCGGAAAGUUUCGGCGGUUGGGGAUGGAAUCGCGGCUUAUCAGCUUGUUGGUGGGGUAGUGGAUUACAAAGGCUUCGAAGGAUAGCCCGCCUUAGAGCGUGGCCGGCCUCAUGGGGACUGCGGGACGGCCCAGUCGGCUACGUUAGGCAGCAGUCGGGAGCAUGACGGAGUGGCCGGAAGCCAGUUGCAGCAACCCCGCGUUCGUAAUAACGUCCUACGAGGGAUAAACCGCUUUCUCCUUUAACGAAGCGGUAUUGACGGUAAUUAGUAAGAAAGCACCGGCUAACUACGUG
RNAcentral lists this ribosomal RNA (468 nucleotides) under uncultured bacterium. RNAcentral's name for it is "partial 16S ribosomal RNA". It matches the Rfam family "Bacterial small subunit ribosomal RNA", at positions 28 to 507 of the family's 1533-position model. The record is from RNAcentral.